UGAUAGCUGCAACGUUGGUGACUGCCAAUAUCGUUUUUUGAUCUACAAGUAAGACCUAUAAGGGAACCAACCCCUUUUGUGGCAGUAAACCGGGCAAAGUACCCGGAAACUUAAAGCAAAAUGUCGGUGCCCACCUGACGACAGGAGGUCAUUAACUGAGGUAAAACGGCGUUGCAGUGUCAA
RNAcentral lists this non-coding RNA (183 nucleotides) under Cyanobacteria bacterium SW_9_44_58. RNAcentral describes it as "6S RNA". It matches the Rfam family "6S / SsrS RNA". Rfam says of the family: E. coli 6S RNA was the first non coding RNA to be sequenced, but its function was unknown until recently. The record is from RNAcentral. Lineage: Bacteria; Bacillati; Cyanobacteriota.